RNAcentral lists this ribosomal RNA (1324 nucleotides) under metagenome. RNAcentral's name for it is "bacterial LSU rRNA". It matches the Rfam family "Bacterial large subunit ribosomal RNA", at positions 1561 to 2925 of the family's 2925-position model. The record is from RNAcentral.
AGUGGAUGGGGAGCAACCUAGUUGUGCGUGUGUAAAGGUAGUGCCAAGAAAAGCGAUGAUCAUGUUGAAAAUCAAUUCCCGGUACCCGAAACCGACACAGGUGGGCAAGUAGAGAAUACUAAGGGGCGCGAGGUAACUCUCUCCAAGGAACUCGGCAAAAUGACCCCGUAACUUAGGGAGAAGGGGUGCCACCGAGAGGUGGUCGCAGUGAAGAGGCCCAGGCGACUGUUUAGCAAAAACAUAGGUCUCUGCAAACUCGAAAGAGGAGGUAUAGGGGCUGACGCCUGCCCAGUGCCGGAAGGUUAAAGAAGUUGGUCAGUUUUAGGAUGAAGCUAGCGACUGAAGCCCCGGUGAACGGCGGCCGUAACUAUAAUGGUCCUAAGGUAGCGAAAUUCCUUGUCGGGUAAGUUCCGACCCGCACGAAAGGCGUAACGAUCUGGGCGCUGUCUCGGAGAGAGGCUCGGCGAAAUAGGAUUGUCUGUGAAGAUGCGGACUACCUGCAUUUGGACAGAAAGACCCUAUGAAGCUUUACUAUAGCUUGGAAUUGUGUUCGGGCUUCCUGUGCGCAGGAUAGGUGGGAGGCGUAGAAGGUAUUCUUGUGGGGAUACUGGAGCCAACGGUGAGAUACCACUCUCAGGAGGCUAGAAUUCUAACUUAAUUAAGGACAGUUUCAGGUGGGUAGUUUGACUGGGGCGGUCGCCUCCAAAAAGGUAACGGAGGCGUACAAAGGUUCCCUCAGACUGGUUGGAAAUCAGUCGAAGAGUGCAAAGGCAGAAGGGAGCUUGACUGCGAGAAGUACAGUUCGAGCAGGGUGGAAACACGGUCUUAGUGAUCCGACGGUGCUGUGUGGAAGGGCCGUCGCUCAACGGAUAAAAGUUACUCUAGGAUAACAGGCUGAUCUCCCCCAAGAGUUCACAUCGACGGGGAGGUUUGGCACCUCGAUGUCGGCUCAUCGCAACCUGGGGCGGAAGUACGUCCCAAGGGUUGGGCUGUUCGCCCAUUAAAGCGGUACGUGAGCUGGGUUCAGAACGUCGUGAGACAGUUCGGUCCAUAUCCGAUGUAGGCGUGAGAAUAUUGAGAGGAGCCUUCCUUAGUACGAGAGGACCGGGAAGGACGCACCGCUGGUGUACCUGUUGUGAUGCCAAUUGUAAACGCAGGGUAGCCAAGUGCGGAGAGGAUAACCGCUGAAAGCAUCUAAGUGGGAAGCCCACCUCAAGAUGAGUAUUCUGGUGUAAGGUCACGGGAAGACGACCCGUAAAUAGGCACGAGGUGGAAGUGCAGAGAUGUAUGAAGCCGAAGUGUACUAAUAGACCGUCGGCUUGAC